UGUUGGUCUGCAUCAUGGUUGACUGUUGCAUUGCAGUCCAUGCUCAACAGUUUGAAGCUUUCUAGAUUUCAUGAAAGUUCAAGGUUUUAAUGAAUCUUGAAAUGGCAGGAAUAAUUUUAUUUCAAGACUGAUGUUUUUGAACAUUAAUUCAAUCAUCUUGAAGUACACUACUUCAAGGAUGAUCUUAAGGAAGGUUGGCUUGUGCAAUUUUCCCUUUUAGGUUGGAAGAGAAUGAAGAACUUUACCCCAUAGAUUUCCGUGUAUUUAGAGAAUGCUUGGUGGAUUAUAUUCUCAUACUCAUAUCCAGAUAUACAUCAGAUGUCGGACACAGAUAAUAAGAAGAGUGAAGAAUUGAAGUAAUGUAGAUCGGAGAUUAUCCACCCUGAAAAUUUCAACCGGUAUUCCACUGGCUUCAGCAAUGUUUCUGUUAACAAGUUCAUCAAGAUUAUGGAUUGUGAAAGCAACAUGGAGGAUGAUCUUACAUUGUUCAUACUCUUCAUACUAGUGAAUGAUUCGAACAUCGAUUUCGUUUUCGUUGCAACAAGCAGAGGUCAAUAACAACUGCCACCCACCAUCUGAACGCCAUGCUGGUGCCAAUAAAUUCUUCUUCAAACAUUAAAGAGCUAUAUUACUGUGAUUCGAACAUGAAUGUCAAAUACGAAUAUGUUCUUAAUCUACAUGGAAAGACAAGAAAAAGGUGGAAGAAAGUCCAUCUCAAGCACAUUGCAUAUUGCAGAAUUUGAAACUGAAUUGCUUAUGUGAUUGAAUUCAGAUGUCUGUUAUAAAUUCUGGGUUCUUGUUCCAUACAAAAGUUUACUUACAAAUUCAUUCCCUAUUUCAUACUUAAUUUCUUGUAAACUUUUGCCUAAAUUUGUCUCCUCAAAGUACCGUAGGUAAACGGAGCUCCUAAGAACAUAUGAAAUUAUAGGAUUUGUCUCCUCAAAGUACCGUGGGUAAUCGGAGCUCUUAAGAACAUAUGAAAUUAUAGGAUAUAUUUAU
Molecule: long non-coding RNA, 999 nt
Organism: Gossypium raimondii (Peruvian cotton)
Lineage: Eukaryota; Viridiplantae; Streptophyta; Magnoliopsida; Malvales; Malvaceae
Exons: 4
Source: RefSeq, a predicted model, not a curated record